CGCCCCACUUAUAAACAAAACAAACCGAGAAACCCUAAGAGCCCUCUCUCUUCUUCCUAAUGACAAACCAGUCGCAGACCCCUGACCUCACCGCAACGACCCCCGACCUCACCCCAUCUCCACCCUUCAACCAAGCCACACCAAAGGACCAUUUGUUUGCUCUCCAUCUCAGCAACUCGGCGGAGGUCCUUUCCCUUUCAGUCGCCGGCCAGCCACUGGAACUUCACCAAACAUCAUAGUCGUCACUCACUCCUCCAUCUCUUUCACGCCAACAACCAAAGGGAAACAAACUUUCAGCCAGCAACAACCAAACAAUCCCGUUUUUGAACCUUAUAAGCGGCUCCUCACCACUAACUUCAUGCCGGACCACUCCAGAACCGUCGUCGCCGACCUAUCUCUCAUUGACGCCAACCAGACCUCUCAUGAACAACCAAGUAACAUUUUUCUUCUAUAAUUUCUCAACGACUGAGGAAAGCAGCGGUGUUUAUACGAGUGGUGGUGUCGUUAAUAGUAGUAAUGUAUUGGGCUGUGCUUUUGGUUUCUUAAUUCGAGGUUUUGUUCGAGGUCAGCAAACUUGGUACUAUCCGUUGGUUUUCCGGUUCAAAUCCUUGUUUUUGGUUUGAAGUUUCAAUUUGUUCAAAGGUCCGCUUCUGCUUCGCUCACUUCUCCGAUCAUCAAUCUACUUAGUUCAUGUACAUGUUUGCUUAGUUUGUCUAAUUUUAAUGAAUAUGCAUAUAUCCUAUUAAGUGUUCUUUGUGCUCAAUCUUAAAAUUGAAGUUGCGUGAGAAUAGGGGAUUCACAUAAUCUGUUCCUUUAGAAUCUGUUAGUAUAUAUUAAUUUAGUGAUAGUUAUGAUUUGUUUAAUUAAUUUAGUUUCAAUUGAAUCAAUUGAAUUGGUUUCCAUUCAUGACUCUGUAUGUUGUUUAGUCAUAACAAAAUUGUAAUAUGUUUAAAAUAGAUAUAAGUUCUUAAGAAAAGAAAGAAAAUUGCUUUUGGGUCAUAGGAUGGAAUUGCAGGACUGUGAUACUUGGAUUAAUAUUUUUCAUUUUUCUGCAUUUUGAAAACAUAUUUCACAAAGCCAAGGGAGUAGGUUUUGGUUCAUAAAUUUCUUAGCUUAUGUCCUAUAUGCGUAGAUUGAUUUUACUGUUAUAAAAGUUAUUGUUGGCACGUGGAAGAUUUGAAUCUUUUGUGAUUAUUUGGUGUCUGGUAUAAGAUGUUAGCCAAAUGAAUAGUUUAUGACACCUUGUAACCUUAAUUAAGAAUUGUUUAAUUGGAGUGCUCUACUAAUAAUAUUAAGAUAAUGAUUUGCUUAAUACAUAAUGUGGGACAAGGCAUAUGGUAGUGGGGAAUAAUUCAUUUGUUUAAUAAAAUAGGGGGACAAUACAUAUGAUAGUGGGGAAUAAUUCAUUUGUUUAAUAGAAGUGGUGGAUAAGACAUGUAGUAGUGGGAAUACGGGGCUCAAUGAUCCGACUAGUUGUUUUAAGCUCCGGCACGUCAUUCAGCAGUUUGAGGCCAUGAUCUGUUUCAUCUCAGGAAUAUUGACUUGUGUGUAUGGUCAGAAUUAAAAUUCAGGAAGUUUGGAGUCAAAUCUAAAUGGAAAUUCUCAUUUUGAAAGCUUAAAGUUGAAGAAAUAAACUAGGAUUGGAAUUCUGAGUAAAUUACCUCGGAAUCGGGAUCCGAAGGUUCCAGCAGGUUCGUAUGAAUAUUUCGGACUUGGAAGUAUGCCCGGAUCGGGUUUUGGAUAACCAAGGAGCGUUUUGGUGACUAUUGUGGAAGAUAGCAUUUUAGAAGAAAUUGCAUCAGUUUGGCUUAAAAUGCAUUUCAGUGUUAUUAAAGUCCGUUUGGGAUUCUGAGACUGGGAGUAGCUCCGUAUGGUGAUUCUGCAUUUGGGAGAGCAAUCGGAAGUGAAUUCUGAGGUUCGUAGGUCAUUUUGAAGUCAUUUGGCUAAAAAUAGAAAUUUGAAGAUUUUUGAGAAAAUUCGACUGAAAUUGGAAAUUUUGAUAUCGGGGUCGGAAUGCGAUUCAGUAAGUUGGGGAAAGUCCAUAAUAUUGAAUGUGACUUGUGUACAAAAGUUUGAAGUCAUUCCAGAAUGAUUUUGGUAAGGUUUGAGGCACUUAGUCUCUUUUAAGGAAGCUUAAGUUGGAAACGUCAAUCGAGUAUAGACUUAUGUGUUAGAGGGCUCGAAAUGCAAAUUUUAUGGUUUGGAUAGCUUCAUUAGGUCAUUUGGGACUUAGAAGUGUGUCCGAAGUAUUUUUGUGAUGACAGGUGUAGAAUUAAGCUUGAAUUGGCAAAGUUAGUAUUUUGGCGAAUUCCGAUUGAUAGGAGAGAUUUUGAUCCGAGGGUUGGAAUGGAAUUCCGAGAGUUUCUGUAGCUUCGUUAUAUUAUUUUGGACUUUUUGGUUGUAUAACUCGAAUCUAUUGCAAGUUUUGGCGUUUAAUUUGAGAGUUUUUGUUAAAAAAGUAGAAAACCCUCUUGGAUAGAAAUGGUGAUUUGAGGAGUCAAAUGGACUCCGAUUUUUGUGAAUUCGAUAUGUACGGACUCAUGGCGAGACGUGGAAUCUGGUAAUGUAAAUAUUGUAAUUUUUCGAUACGUGGGCCCGGGGCUCGAGUUUUGCAAAUUUCGUGAUUUUCAAUUUUUUCGAGUCCUUGGGUUAUAUUCCCUUAGCAUAUUGUGAUGUAUUUGCUCUAAAUUUGGAUAGAUUUGACGCNNNNNNNNNNNNNNNNNNNNNNNNNNNNNNNNNNNNNNNNNNNNNNNNNNNNNNNNNNNNNNNNNNNNNNNNNNNNNNNNNNNNNNNNNNNNNNNNNNNNNNNNNNNNNNNNNNNNNNNNNNNNUAGUGUUGUAUUGAGGUGACUUGCACGCCGGAUAUGAGCGUGGGGUAGAGCACCGUUGGGGACUGUGACUUGGUCCGUCCCGGUUGUUGAUUUUAUCGAGAAUUUGACUGAAAUUAUUUUUUAUCAUCAUAAUUUGGGCUGAUUGCCAUGUUUGGGCUUCGUGCCAACUAUGUGAAUCCUUCGGGGAUUGAUAUUACUGUUUUUAGCAUAUGUUGCAUAUCAUUUGAUUCCAGUUCAAGAUUUUAAUACUGUUUUGCAAACUCAGCCAUGCUUCUAAGUUUUGAAAACUCAAAUGAUAUAUCAAAUGUUAUUUCGGCCUGAGACUACUAUUUUAUAAAUUCCCAAGAUGCUUAUGAUAUUUUCUGAAAUAUUAUGGGUGGCUCGGGCUGCGCGCCGCAGCAAGAACUUGAAAUAGUGGUAACAAUGUCACUGUGAUGUGACCUGAAUUAUUAUGGGUGGCUCGAGUUGCGUGCCGCAGGAGGAACUUGAAACAGUGGUAACAAUGGCACUAUAUGAAAUAAAUUUGUCAGGUAUGACUGAUCAGUAUAUUGCGUUUGGGCUGUAGGAGCCCCUCUGGAGUCUGUACACACCCCCAGUGAGCGCCGUCGACGUUAGAUGAUUAUGGGUGGCUCGGGCUGCGCACCGCAGCGGGUACUAGAAUGUACCAUCAUAUGCAUUGCAUUGCAUCCAUGCAUUUGUUCCUAUUUCCUUGUUUGUGCUAUUUCUUGAGAUAUUCAUCCGUUGUUCUGGUACUACAUGAUCAUUCUUGAGGAGGGUAAAUUUUAGACAGUGGUAACAAUGACACUAUAUGAUGCAUUUGGUCAGGUAAUAAUGGCUGACUAGGAAUAAGAAUAUUGCCGGAGGGGCGACUUUCUGUGGAUAAUGUCACUAAUUGUUUGAUUGAACUGUUUACCAUAUACCCUGGUGUUGUUUGUUAAUAGUGUAAUGUGCCCGGGAGGCUGAUGUUUUACUUUCUGAGUUGGGAGUGAGCCCAUGGGGCUGAUACUGUAUAGAGAGGUUGAUAUUGAGCCCGAGGGGCAGAUUUCUGAUUAUUCCCUACUUAUUGAAGUUAUUUUCGCAACUGUUGAAAAGGAAUAUUUUUAAAAGAGGUUUUUCCUGAGCCCAUAUAUUUUCCAAAGGAUCUUCACAAUUUUAUUAUUUCUGAAUAUUUUUAAAAAGAGGUUUUUACUGAGCCCAGAUGUUUUUCAAAGGAUUUUCACAAUUUUACUAUUUCUCCUCAGUAAGGGUUGUAAUAUUCUAUGUAGCAUGAUGGAGUGCCUUACGUGAUUUCUUACUUUCAGCUAUUAUUUACUCUUAAUACUGCUGAGUUGGAAGUACAGGUACUGUUCACCCGGUAGCGGGUUAUUAACAUACUGAGGGUAUACUAUCGUAGCUGAGCAAGGUGACCGUGAGCGUUCACGGCACCGUAAUUCUUCAUUGAUUCUAAAUUCCUAUUCUGGAUAUUGCUGGUCUUGUAGUAGUAUUUAGAUUCUUUAGAUGCUCGUGACUAGUGACACACUGAUUUGGGUUGUGUUGAGUUGUAUACAGCGAAAUAUUUUAUUUAAUUAUCUUAAAACUGUUUAAUUAUAUAUAUAUAUUGUUGAAAAGGUUGUUUAAAUUGGUUUGCUGGCAUUGUCUUCACGAGAGGUGCCAUCACGAUCGGGUUUGGGAUUUGGGUUGUGACAAGUUGAUAUCAGAGCUUAGGUUACUAGGUCUCGCGAGUCAUGGGAAGGUUUAGUAGAGGCUUGCGGAUCAGUACGGAGACGUCUGUAUUUAUCCUCGGGAGGCUGCAGAACCUUUAGGAAAACUUCACAUUCUUGAAAUCUUAUCAUGCGUCCUUGAUUUAGUUUGAAAAGGUAAACUUUAUAGUUCCUUCCACGUAUUCAUAUGUGCGAACAAAUGCUCAGUAUUAGAUGUGCCUUGAUGGCUUGUAAUUCCCCGAUCGAGGGAUGAGAUGUAAUCUCUGUGAGUUUGAUGAUAGGCCAGACUGAAGGACUUGAGGCUGGAUCUUUGCCUAUGGCUUAAGCACCGAGGUGCUAAUUAUGCGAGCAAGUAUUUUGAACUUAUAUGUUCGGUAUUGUCCCUAUUAGUAGGAAUGAUGGAUGGAUAGCUAUGUGAUGAGUAUGUUACAAUUGCGAGAUAUAUCUAUAUGACUUGGAAGUGAAGAUGGAGACCUGCUGGAUGAUAGGUGGACUAUUAAGUGUGAUUUUUCAUUGUUACGCUUUGUCAAGUUGUGGAUGUGUUGUUAGGAUGGUUUUGGUGAUUCUCUGGCAUGUGGAUAGGCACAAAUACAAAGGGAACUCUGCCGAAAUGUUUGAAAAUUUGGGACUUCGUAAAAAAAAAUUGUUGCCUAAAUAGAGGGCUUAACUUUUGUGUGAGUGAAUGAAAAAAAAAAAUUUGCAGAAGAGUUAAAAUUUUCGAUUAUUCGUGUUUCCACAAGCUUAUGAAGGAGUGAGUUUAAUCUCACCAUCGUAUUACGGCAACAAUAAAGUAUAUGUGUUGUGAUCUACAGCUCGGAGCCAAGUUGGGGAGUUUGCUAUUGAUUAGAUAAUUGUACAGUCAUGUGCUAUGUUGGUUCCGAUUCAAGGCAUGCUGACGAAUCAGCUCUGGUUGCGGAAAUUGGUCCGAAGAUGGCACAAGUGAUGUAGAACUUUGACAAAGGCUACAUGGUGCUUCAUAGAUGUGUGAGAAUCACAGUAUGUCUUAAGCUGUCAUUGGUAAUGAAUGCUCGGUGCAUGGAGCGGGAAGAUGUUUGGUUGUAUGGAAUGUGGACAUACGCUGCGGUGUCAGAGUGCUAUUGAGGCACGGGUGGUUAUGUUCGUUGGAUCAGGUGAAUUGCAGUUUGAAUAAGAGUAAAUGACUUGAGAGAAUGGUUCUAAUGUGUUCGAGAGUCAUAUAAUAGUGGCUUUGAGGUAAGUGGCAGAGUCCAACCGCUUACGAUUGGGUUGUAUGGUUAAUUACCUGCGUGAAUUCUGGUUAUUAGCAUAUUGAUGGGUUACUGCAGCUACGAAAGCCGCUGUCCAUUGGGUUGCAUGGUUAAAUACCUGCGUGAAUUCUAGUUAUUAGCGUAUUGAUGGGUUAUUUAGCUAUGGAAAAGGACCAUGGGUGGUAAUUGGAGUAAAUGAAAUUGUUGAAUGCAUACUAUGGUUAGGCUUAUUGGCUCAUGCUCAGACUUGAGGGAAAAUUCAUGAUGUAUGCCUCUUAUAGGUGCAUGCUUCAAGGGAAGUUAUCCCGCUGGGUGCUUUAUCGAGAGGCUAUUCAUAUGUUAUAAAAUUUAGUAGAGUUGGUUGCAGUCGAGGCCAAGUCAGAGCGGGUGGCUCUCAAUAGCGGUCCUAGUGAAUUCAAGAGGUAAAGUGUGGUGUCUAAUGAUUUUUAGUCUAUAAGUACGGUUAAGAGUCAAGCUUUUGAAGCAGCUUAUGAAGAAAGACACAAAAUGCUCUAUGAUGUUUUAACUUGCGGUGUAGCAUUUGAGAGACAUGAAAUGGUCAUGGUAUUUGAGACGGCAUGGUCUCGUAAUUUAAGGUCACUCGGGGUAAGUGUGGUUGAAAUAAGUUAGGUGUUGAAGGGAAAUAUUAUUAUUUCUAAGUCAAUCAAGGAUAAAUUGGAAGGAAGUAUAUUGAUUAGCCAUAGUUGAGUUGGCAUACUGGUGUUAGUGAUCGGUUCGUUCAGCGUGAUCGGGUUAUGCAUGUGAUUGCUGCGAUACAUGUGAGGCUUGUCGGUCGCAGUGAUUGAUGUUAUUCUGAAGCAUUCUUUUGUUAGAACCUAUUAUGAUUAGGCGGAUCCCGGGAAGUGUUAUGGUGGUUUGGACAACCACUUAGAGAUUGUCUUAUUCGGCGGUUAUGAGAAUUCGCAUGUAUGUUGCUAUAUUUCUCCUGAAGUGAGUUAAAUGGAAAGUAUUAUGCAACGAAAUAUUAGCCUAUUGGCGGCUCCAUAGUUGUGAUGGAAAUCGUGUCUAUCGUAUAUCGGCACGUGAGGUGCAAUGAGUGAUAUAGAAUUCGAAGUAAGGACCAAGGUUGCAGUUUGGUUAAAUGACUGUGAUGUCACGAGCUCGGAUGAGCAGGAAUGGAGUUUCAGUGUUUUGAGUAAGAUAGGUAUUGAUGUCAAUAUCACCUGAGAUCGGUGUUCUGUGAGAAGGGCUUUGCAUCUUUGUUAUGGACUCCUGAUCGCUUUUCAGCGUUAGUACAGCCGGUGGAUUGAAUGAGCAGGCCCGUUAAUUAUUUCGGAUGAUGGCGGGAGCUUGUCUCACAAGAAUAUUGUAUAAGUGCGACAGUUAGUCACUUGAUUAAUUAGAAAUUUAAACCAAGUAUGAGGAUUUUGGUAAUAUCAUCCAUUUGAGAAUUUAUGCCUGGAGGGCACUCUGCUUAUUGGGUUAUGGUCCUGUGAAAUAUUAUUGGCCUAGCUUGGCACGAUCAAGAUCGACUUGAGGUCGAUGGAUAGAUUUAAAUGUUGAAGUGAGCCUUACGUCAGGCCAGUUGUGUUUAUGUCAGCAAUGCGCUCUUUAUGAAAGGAUAGUCACGGUCUUAUUUUGUGGUCAGCUAAUUCAUGUAAAGAUAUAUUGCACCGUAUAAGUUGUGAGAUGACUUGGUAAAUUCCUUAUGUGUUGAGGUUCCGCUCAGCGGUGAUAUUAUAUGAGCAUGAUGGCUCUUGAGACUUAGAUCAUGUAUCACACCUUAAUUGUGAUUCAUGAUCUAAGUCUCAAGAGCCAUCAUUGAUGGCUCUUGAGACUUAGAUCAUGUAUCGCACCUCAGUUGUGCUUGAUUUUGUAGCCUAUAGAGCUAUAUGUUUCCUUGGGAAUGGUAUUAUGUACCUUGGUGUGUUUAUGACCGAUAAACGAUUUUUUGAUGUGAUGAGCUUUUCAGCUCGAUGCAUAUCUCCUUAUGUGAGUUGUAUAUGUGGAUCGGGUGGCACGCCGCCAUGGGUAAGUUGUUUGGAUCAGGUUGCGUGCCGUAACAGUACGAUGUUCAGUACAGUCCCCCAUAUUUUCUUUUAUGUGUUCUGUCUCUUAUUUUUCCCAGAAUUCUAGUUCUAGCUGUGAACCCACGUUGCAUAUAUGAUUCGCGAGCGGGGUAAUUAGAUCUCCUUUUUAAAGUUAGGCAUCCUUUGUGUAUCGCAAUCCGAGUGGUAGCCUGUUGGCGCAUUGUGGCAUUAUAUUGGAUUUUUGAUUAUGUCUAAGGUGGCUUAUUGCCUGAGCAGUUCAUACUGGGUGAGACGAGGUUACUAGAUUUGGGGUCAGUGCAAACUGAUUAUAUGAAGUAUACUAUAGAGAAAAGAUCAUUCUUUGGUUUGGUACAAGGUAAUGGAACUCGUCAAGAGUAUGGAUCCAAUGAAUUGUUGAUUCAGAAGUUGGUUAUGAAUUUCGGCACAUCUCUUCAGUCGUAUCGGUGUUGUAAAACCUAAAGCAAGACCUGUGUAGGUCAUGAGAUGCAAUGGGAGCAUCAGAUUUGUGGAAUUUCGACUAUUAACAUCUCUUCCGUCGUAUCGAUAUUGUAAAAGCUAGAGCAAGACACGUGUAGGUCAUGAGAUGUAAUGGGAGCAUGAGAUUUGUGGAAUUUUGACUAUUAUGUUUAAAGAAUGGUAUUGUGGUUCUAUGAGUAAAGUGAUGCAAAGUGUGAAUUCAACAAAGUUAUGCAUUAAUGUUUGGGUAGAGCGAGCGGAGAUUGAUAUGGUGGUCGUAUGAUGGAAACAGACUUGGCAGGAAAUUAAGGAUGUUGGAAUUUGGCCUAAUGGCUUAUUUGAUUGAAUUAUUAUAUCUACAGAAUUAUCGAGCUAAUGUUCUCAACUGAGUGGUGGUAGCACGGGAAGGUGCAUGAUGUUUUAAACAAGUUAUUUCAAACUACAUCAUUGUAGUUCUCAGCAUGUUCGAGGACGAACGUAUGUUUAAGUGAGGGAGAUUGUAACGACCCGACUGGUCGUUUUGAGCUCCGGUGCAUCAUUCAACAGUAUGAGGCCAUGGGAAGUUUCAUCUCAGGUAUAUUGAUUUAUGUGUAUGGUCAGAAUUAAAAUUCAGGAAGUUUGGAGUCAAAUCCAAAUGAAAAUUCUCAUUCUGAAAGCUUAAAGUUGAAGAAAUGAACUAGGAUUGGAAUUUUGUGUAAAUGACCUCGGAAUCGGGAUCUGAAGGUUCCAGCAGGUUUGUAUGAUGAUUUCGAACUUGGGCGUAUGCCCGGAUCGGGUUUUGGAUAACCUAGGAGCGUUUUGGUGACUAUUAUGGAAGAUAGCAUUUUAGAAGAAAUUGCAUCACUUUGGCUUAAAAUGCAUUUCAGUGUUAUUAAUGUCCGUUUGGGAUUUUGAGACAGUGAGUAUGGUUGAUUCUGGAUUUGGGAGCAUGAUCGGAAGUGAAUUCUGGGGUUCGUAGGUCAUUUUGAAGUCAUUUGGCUAAAUAUAUAAAUUUGAAGGUUUUUGAGAAAAUUCGACCGGAAGUGAAAUUUUUGAUAUCGCGGUCGGAAUGUGAUUCCGAAAGUUGGGGCAAUUCCAUAAUGUUGAAUGUGACUUGUCGCGACCGGAAUGAUUUUGGUAAGGUUUGAGGCACUUAGUCUUUAUUAAGGAAGCUUAAUUUGGAAAAGUCAAUUGAAUAUUGACUUAUGUGUUAAAUGGCUCGAAAUGCAAAUUUUAUGAUUCAGAUAGCUUCAUUAGGUGGUUUGGGACUUAGGAGUGAGUUUGAAAUAUUUUUGUGAUGACCGGUGUAGAAUUAAGUUUGAAUUGGUAAAGUUAGUAUUUUGGCGAAUUCUGGUUGAUAGGUGAGAUUUUGAUCCGAGGAUCGGAGUGGAAUAUGUUUGAAUCGAGGCUUCAAACGGUAAAGCUUAUCUGAUUUUAUUUAUUUUAGAAUUUUUCUUCAAAUAAUUCAUGAAUUUUCUAGGAUAAUAUUAUGGACUUAUUUGAUUUUAUUUAUUUUAGAAUUUUUCUCGAAUAAAUCAUGAAUUUUCUAGGAUAUUAUUAAGGAUCUCAUCGAAAACUUAAAGAAGCUUGCCAAACAAAAUCUAAGAGAAAAAAACAGAGGUAUGACUGGCAUAAUAUCUACGAUUGGAUUCAAAAAAGCAUAGGCCUCCGGCAAUUUGCCGAAGACAAAUCUACUCGAAAAAAGGGUCGAAUUAAGACAGAUACCGAUCAAACUAAAGGUAUUAAGCAUAACAAAAUCCAAGAGUUUUCGUAGCUUCGUUAUAUCAUUUUGGACUUGUCUGCAAAAUUUGAGGUCAUUUGGACUAGUUUUGACGUUUUUUUGCAUCGGAUGUGAAAUUUGAAAGAAUUCUUGGAUAUAAGGCUCAAAUCAUUGAUUUUGAUGUUAUUUUGCCGAUUUGAUCACUCGAGCAAGUUCGUGUGAUGUAUUAGAGUCAGCGUGCAUAUUUGGUUUGGAGCCUCGAGGCUCGGGAGUGUUUCUGAGGUGUCUCGGAAUAAUUCCAGACUUAGAAAAAUAUGCAGAAAUUGCAGAAAAAUUUUGCUGUGAACAGUGUUGUGAAACAGUUCCCAUGCACAGUACCCAUAAACAGUAUCAUGAACAGCGCAAGUGAAUUGUGACCGACGCGUGAAUAGUGCCCUCGAAAUUUCUGGACAGAGUAUUAUUUUUCUGAAAAUGGGAGUCAUCCCAUUUUCCAUUUUUAACGAUUUGGAGCUCGGAUAAGGAGAUUUUUCGAGGGAUUUUUGGAGAGAACAACGGGGUAGGUCUUCUUAACUCAAUUUUGGUUGUAUAACUCGAAUCUAUUGCAAGUUUUGGUGUUUAAUUUGAGAACUUUUGUUAAAAAGGUAGAAAACCCUCUUGGAUAGAAAUGGUGAUUUGAGGGGUCAAAUGGACUCCGAUUUUUGUGAAUUUGAUAUGUACGGACUCAUGGCGAGACGAGAAAUCCGGUAAUGUAAAUAUUGUAAUUUUCGAUACGUGGGCCCGGGGCUCGAGUUUUGCAAAUUUCGUGAUUUUCGAUUUUUUUCGAGUCUUGGGUUAUAUUCCCUUAGCAUAUUGUGAUGUAUUUGCUCUAAAUUUGGAUAGAUUUGACGCNNNNNNNNNNNNNNNNNNNNNNNNNNNNNNNNNNNNNNNNNNNNNNNNNNNNNNNNNNNNNNNNNNNNNNNNNNNNNNNNNNNNNNNNNNNNNNNNNNNNNNNNNNNNNNNNNNNNNNNNNNNNNNNNNNNNNNNNNNNNNNNNNNNNNNNNNNNNNNNNNNNNNNNNNNNNNNNNNNNNNNNNNNNNNNNNNNNNNNNNNNNNNNNNNNNNNNNNNNNNNNNNNNNNNNNNNNUAGUGUUGUAUUGAGGUGACUUGCACGCCGGAUAUGAGCGUGGGGUAGAGCACCGUUGGGGACUGUGACUUGGUCCGUCCCGGUUGUUGAUUUUAUCGAGAAUUUGACUGAAAUUAUUUUUUAUCAUCAUAAUUUGGGCUGAUUGCCAUGUUUGGGCUUCGUGCCAACUAUGUGAAUCCUUCGGGGAUUGAUAUUACUGUUUUUAGCAUAUGUUGCAUAUCAUUUGAUUCCAGUUCAAGAUUUUAAUACUGUUUUGCAAACUCAGCCAUGCUUCUAAGUUUUGAAAACUCAAAUGAUAUAUCAAAUGUUAUUUCGGCCUGAGACUACUAUUUUAUAAAUUCCCAAGAUGCUUAUGAUAUUUUCUGAAAUAUUAUGGGUGGCUCGGGCUGCACGCCGCAGCAAGAACUUGAAAUAGUGGUAACAAUGGCACUGUGAUGUGAUCUGAAUUAUUAUGGGUGGGUCGAGUUGCACGCCGCAGGAGGAACUUGAAACAGUGGUAACAAUGGCACUGUGUGAUGUGACUUGAAAUAUUAUAGGUGACUCGGGCUGUGCGCCACGGCAGGAACUUGAAACAGUGGUAACAAUGACACUAUAUGAUAUAAAUUGGUCAGGUAACAUUGGCUGAUCGGUCAGGUAACAAUAACUGACCAGUAUAUUGCUCUUGGGCUAUAGGAUCCCCUUCGGAGUCUGUACACACCCCCAGUGAGCGUCGUCGAUGUUAAAUGAUUAUGGGUGGCUCGGGCUGCGCACUGCAGCGGGUAAUGGAAUGUACCAUCAUAUACAUUGCAUUGCAUCCAUGCAAUUGUUCCUAUUUGUACUACUUGUCAUGACAUUCUGCACUCCCAUUUCAUUGGCAUCCAUGCUACUUCUUGUACUGUUUACUAGAUACCCUGGUGUUAUUUGUUAUUGGAUUGUUGUGCCGGACAAGCUGAUGUUGUACUUUGUGAGUUGGGAGUGAGCCCAUAGGGCUGAUACUGUACGGAGAGGUUGAUAUUGAGCCCGAGGGGCAGAUUUCUGAUUUUCCCUACUUAUUGAAGUUAUUUUCGCAACUGUUGAAAGGGUAUAUUUUUAAAAAGAGGUUUUUACUGAGCCCAGAUGUUAUUUAAAUGAUUUUCACAAUUUUACUGUUUCUCCUCAGAAAGGGUUGUAAUAUUCUAUAUAGCAUGAUGGAGUGCCUUACGUGAUUUCUUACUUUCAGCUAUCAUUUACUCUUAUUACCGGUGAGUUAGAAGUACUCACUUUAGUCCCUGCACCUUUCGUGCAGUUUCAGGUAUUGUUCACCUGGUAGCAGGUUAUUAACAGACUGAGGGUAUAGUAUCGUAGCUGAGCAAGGUGACCGCCAGCGUUCACGCCACCGUAAUUCUUCGUUGAUUCUAAAUUCCAUUCUGUAUAUUGCUGGUCUUGUAGUAGUAUUUAGAUUCUUUAGAUGCUUGUGACUAGUGACACCUCGAUUUGGACUGUAUUGGGUUGUAUUCCGCGAAAUCAUUUUAUUUAAUUAUCUUGAAACUGUUUAAUCCAUGUGUGUGUGUGUGUGUGUAUAUAUAUUGUUGAAAAGGCUGUUGAAAUUUGUUGGUUGGCCUUGUCUUCACGAGAGGUGCCAUCACGACCGCAUUUGGGAUUUGGGUCGUGACACCUAUGGAUAGAAAGACUAGGCUGCCAUUCCCGGAGAGAAUCACUUCAUCCACCAAAGUAUUUGAAUUACUUCAUGUAGACCUAUGUGGCCCCUAUCAUAAACCAACACAUGAUAACUACAAAUACUUCCUUACCAUGGUUGAUGUUUUUAGUAGGUCAACCUGGACUCACCUUUUAAGCUGCAAAAGCAAUACUUUUUGUUCCAUUAAAGGCUUUCUGUCUAUGAUUGAAAAUCAGUUUGACAUCUCUGUUAAGACCAUUAGAUCUGACAAUGGUCUAGAAUUUUUCAAUAAUGAAACCCUGACUUACUUUCAAGAAAAAUACAUAGUACACUAGAAAACUUAUCCGUAUACACCACAAUAAAAUGGUGCAGUGGAAGGGAAACACAAAUACCUACUUGAAAUAACAAGAGCCCUUCUUUACCAGGCUAAAAUACCCAUAAAGUACUGGGGAGAGUGCAUCUUAAUAACUACCUAAUAAAUAGGCUUCCAUCUACUAUUCUUAACAAUAAAAGCCUCUAUGAAAUUCUGUAUGAUAAAAGGCCCAAAUAUUCACAACUCAGGAGUUUUGGUUGUCUAUGUUAUCCCUGGACAUAGAAAAUUCACAGACUAUGUCUAAAAAACGAUCAGCCUUCAAAUAAAUCCUCUAAAUCCAAUAAGAUCAGGUUUGUCUUCACGAGAGGCGCCAUCACGAUCGGGUUUGGGAUUUAAGUCGUGUCACUCAAGAAGAUGGGACUUUUUCUUUAUUUGUUUAAUUGUUUAAAGUGGUCUGGUUUUGGACAUAAAUAAAGAGUAGUUUGGACAGAAUUAAGGACUGGUCUUUGAAUGCUAAAAAAGUCAGUAAGUAGAGAGUUAAAUAACAAAAUUGAAGCCUUUCUUUCACGUCUGAAAAAUCAGAAUCAGUGUUUAUUACUGUGGAGUUGAAGUUCCGAGCUCCUUUCUCUGAGUGUCUGAAGAUCACAAAACUAGUGUUCUGUUUUGCUUCUGGUUCACUUUUUCUUCUGUCUUUUAUUGUCAUUGAUAUCUCUGAGGUUUUCAUUUGGGUUUACCUGAGUUUGUUGUUGGUUUUUAUUAUCACUAUUCACUUGGUAUUGUUGGAUUUUCUGCUUGGUUUUAUAAAUAUGUCACUGGGUUCUCGUUGCUGGUUGCUGGUUAUUCCUGGUUGUUAUUAUUGUUGUUGUGUAUGCUACUGCUGCACUGAUCACUAAUCUUCUUUUGCUUUCCAAUAUCAGGUACACAACUGAUUUACUGACUAUUGUAAGAUGAUAACACGAAACAUAAAUACAAAAAUGAAGAGUUGAAGUUCUGAAUUCACUUUAGUUCGUCUACUGGUUUGUAUAUAUUAGGAUAUUAUUUCACUGGAACCAUAUAGGUGACUGUGAUGUACAACUGGAUAUUUGUGUAGUAGUUUGAUUAAUAAACGCUCCAUGUUUGCUUAGUUAAAAAAAGGGUUGAUGGUGUAGUUAAUAAUGCGCUGUAUAUUUCAGUUUGGUUGUUAAUAACAAGUUGCCUGUCUAAAACUUGUAGUAAUAUUAUUUAAUUAGAUAUCAUCAUUUUACAUUUCAGCAUUGCAAAUUUCGAACAUGUGUAGAAUAUCUUAACUAGGCUUCAAUAUAAAAAUAAUAUGGCCCAGGUCCAGUUUAGUACUACACGAUGGAUCUGGGCCCAUGAUUGGCGAAGGGCCUGCCCCAUUACAUUUAUAUUCUGAUUUAACAAACUGUGUUAGAAACCCGACUAUAAUAACUCGUAAGCAUGUAUGUCAACUAGGACCUUUUCUUGUUUCAUUUUAGAGACGGACGAAAAAUAGAAGAAUGUAGUCACUUUAGGAUGAUCUUUUUAAAAUAAACGAGAUGAGAUGAGCCUAAUAAAACGCACAAGCUGUGGGGCCCUCUAUACGUGUUUGUAAAGUUACUUAGAGUUUGGAAUGAGUCGUUUUAGCAAAAUUUCACGGCCUUACCCACAACAAUAAUACGCUUGUCGCUUUAGGCACGCCUUUAAUAAAUUUUUUUCUUAAAUUUGGGUGCACAUUUAUGUGACCCAAAUUCAAAUCUCAACGGAAUCGAAAUGUGUUGAUAACCACGGGUACAUUGAUUGUGAUGUGGUUCGAGAUGCGUUUUCACAACGUUGCAAUUCCUUGUUAAAACAACAACAACAACAACAACAACAACAACAACAACAAUAAUAAUAAUAAAUAAUAAUAAUAAUAAUAAUAAUAAUAAUAAUAAUAACAAUAAUAAAAGCGGUAAAAGAGUUAUAUCUUGCAUAUAAGUGCAUAAUUGGUAAAAUUAUAUAAAUAAGCCGAAUAUGGCAGUUGAGCGACUGUGCUAGAACCACGAAACUCAGGAAUUCCUAACACUUUCUCCCAGUUUAACAGAAUUCCUUACUCGGAUUUCUGGUUCGCGGAUUGUUAAUAGAGUCAUAUUUUUCUCGGUUCGGGAUUCAACCGGUGACUUGGGACACUAUUAAUAUCCCAAGUGGCGACUCUGAUAUCUCAAAAAUAAAUCUCGUUCCGGUUGUCCUUUAAUUGGAAAAACCCCCUCUGCGCCCCCGCGGCCGCGGGUGAAAAAAGAGGUGUGACAGCUUUGGCGACUCUGCUGGGGAAAUCAACCCAGAACCACUGGUUCAGGGUUAGAAAUUCGAGCUUUUAAUAAAUUGUUGUACUUGACUUUAUUUAUUAUCUGAUUUUAUUAUGUGAUUGAGCUUAAAUGUGCAAAAAUGAUAUUGUUACCGCUUUGAUAUUAUUUGAACUGUAUAUAUAAACUGUGCCGAAACCCCUCUUUUCUUUCUUCUGUCGUGACUUCUUUCUGUUAGUGUCAUUAUCCCAAAUAGAAUGAGGAUUCGGUGGAGUUGCAAAAUCAGCUGGCCUUUUGGUUACCGGGACGCGGCUCUCAUCCUUGGCUCGAGUUGUCCGCUCGUGUAAGCCAGGUCCACAAUAUUACACCCAGGUUUUGAACUUAGAAUAACUUGACUUCAUGUCAGAUCCCAAGUAGGAAUGUUUAUUUGCAUCAUGUGCAUUUGACUUAGGCGAAUCAACACAAGGAUUGGGUACGUCUAGGACAAGCAACCUGAAAAUAAUAGACCAUCUUGAUGCAUCCUCUGUUCUACAUGUUUUAUUUAUUCAAGAGUAGAAGGUUCAUUUGUUGGACCAAUGAUAGUUGAGGACAAAUGGCAUGCCUGGUCAUGCUGAUCACAUUAAAUAAGAAGGCUGCAUGGUUUUUUAGAUAAGCAUGGUAUUGUUUUAAUCAAGCACAUGGGGAACAUUUGUGGAAUCCAAGGAGUCUUGGAAUUCCCUAUGUCCCAUGCUUCUUUUUUGGGACAAUCACAUCGGGAACAUUUGUGGAAUCCAAGAAGUCUUGGAAUUUCCUAUGUCCACAUGCUAUAUUUUGUGGAUAUGAUUCAAGGAUCGAGGGAUUCCUCUUGAUCUUUGCAAACUUAAAAAAAUGAAAAUUCAAAAAGAUUUUGUACUUUGUCAUCAUUUUCCAUAAAUGAGAAAAUCAAGAAAAAGAGAAAAAGAAAAUUCAAAAAAGAUUUUUGCAUGUUUCAUCAUUUUUUUAAGAAAAAAAAAGAGUAAAAAAUAUAUAUGUUUUUCUAAAUUAGUUAUUAUUUUUAAUUAUUGCCCGUAUCAAUCGGCCUGAAUUAUGCUGGUUUGAUUCUCACCGGGUGUGAGAUACGUAGGCAACCUUCAUCGGGUCCAAUCUCCCCUUUUGCUAAAAUAGCCAAAAACAAUGUCAAUUAAUUUUUGUCAUAAAGAAGUCGGGUGAUGUCGCUCUUGUUAAAUAUAGCCGAAUCUUUCCGAAAGGGACGCCGGAAGGCCGACUUUGCAUAAAAGGACACCUUUGGUCAUUGUUUUUUAGAUUUUUGCUAAUUGACCACAUAGCCUUAAAAUCUUCGUCCCUGAGGCGCUAAAAGACCGUGUUUACAAUAUCGGAUUUUCUAUUUUGAAAAACAAGAAAAAGAGUCAUAAAUAAGUCGAGUGAUGUUGUUUUUGUCAAAAAUAGCCGAAUGUUCCCGAAUGGGACGCCGGAAGGCUGACUUCGCAUUAAUAGCUACAUGUGGUCACUAUUUAGAUUUUUGACCGGUUGACCAACACAGCCUUAAAAUCUUCGUCCCCGAGGCGCUGAAAGCCGUGUUUGCAAUAUUGGGUCUACUAUUUUGAAAAUAAAAUAUUCAUAAAUAAGUCGGGUGAUGGCGUUAUUGUCAAAAAUAUCCAAAUGUUCCCGAAAGAGGCUUCGGAAGACUGACUUUGCAUAAACAAUCACAUCUGGGUCAUUUUUUUAUUUUGGCCAGUUGAUUAAAAUCUUCGUCCCCGAAGUGCUGAAGUCUUUGCAAAACCUGGCCUUUUAUUUUAAUUUUAAAAAAAAACGAGUCAGUGGGCAAGUGAGUAUCGUUCGAAUUUUGGUCAAAAUAAGCCGAGCCAGCUUCGGCGAUGUAUUAAACCGCUCUUCCGAGAUAGCCUUAGAGUAUCUUUUAGUUUUCGAAAGGCUAUUUUUGUAAGAGAACGGACCAGUUUGUAGUGUCAUAAAAUAAACCUCCACGACCUCAAAAUUCAUGAGAAAUUGGGAAGGGGCCACAUUUGUAAAAUAGCCAUUUGGUUAAAAUUGGCAAAUAGGGAAAGGAAUCUGGCUGUUUAUUUUGAGUUUUUAAUUUUUUUUGAUUAGGGUGUGGUAUAUAUUUAUUUUCAAGUCUGUAGGUCGUCUUUUCGUCAAAGUCUGUUAGUAUGGUCAGUUUUUAUACCGUUGUACACAUGUUUGUUUUAUUGUGAAAAUUGAAAAUUCCAAAAAAAUAUAUUUUAUUGUUGUUUAUCUUUUAUUGGUCCAAACUACACAAGGUCUAAUUCAUGUGGGGUCAUGACACGUAGGAAAUCUCCAUAAGAUUCAACGUCAACAAAAAAUGAAAAAAAAAUUGAAAAAAAGAAAGAAAAAGGAAAAAAAGGAAAACGAUGUUGCUAAUAAUGAGGACCGACUGAGUCCAUUCUAACCUGUUUUGUUUUGAAUCGAAAAAAGAAAUUUAAGGUGGUUGGUUUGUGGUAAGCCGGAAAAACAAGAUCCAAGAAAACCUGAUUGUAAUCCAAGACAAUGACACCCAGAAUAUCACGCAAAAUCCUUUACCUGCGCAUCAUGAUGCACACUUUGUGGGGAUGAGGCCUGAUGACACAGAGCACUCGAAUCCUAUUGGGAACAUGUUGACUGAGGUUGAUGAUAUUGAAGUUGGUAAUGGUCUUGGCAAUAUUGACGUGAAGUUCAGUGGCUAAGAUGCCAGGUUUGAUAAGUGGGAGGACGCUCCGUUCCUUGGUUAGCAGUAGAGAAGCUUUUGGUGGCUUAUUUUGUUGUCAUUUCUGUUGUCCAGAUUAUUCUUAGGGUUGUAAUCCAGAUAUUGUCUUGUGUCAAACUUUCUUAUCUUUCCAUUUUUGUCAUAACGGUUUGUUUAGUUUUGUCCAGGUUUGUUUUAGGAUUGUAUUCUGGUUUGUUUUUGUUUGUUUUGUUAUUCAAACCAUUUCAUCGCUAGUCUAAUGUAAAAUUCAGUCUUUUAUUAUUUCCAGUCAUUUUUUUGUUUAGGUUUUUUAUCAUUUUGUUCAGCGCCGAUUCUAGUGACAUAACAUGGGUACACAAUUUGAGCCUAAUCUUAAAAGUUAAUCAUCAAACCAUUAAGAGGUGAUCAAAACAUUUAAAGUAAAUAAGGACGGUUUGAUAUUAUUCAAGCUCGAGUCAUGUGGAACUGGGGCAAGUAAAGUAUAAAGAAAACCGUUAAAGGCAAGAUUCGCUAAAUUUACACGAGGGUCGUUCAUGAUAAUGAGAGUGAGAGUGUUGUCAAACGGUGCUUUAGAGAUGACAAAUGAAAAAGCAAAUGCGUGAAUAUAAUUGUCUAAGUCCAGCACCAUCAGAAGAGGCUACAAAUCUUUGCUUAAUUGUGUUGUUUGCACUUGGCAUGUUUUGAAGACUGGAAUGACGAAGAUAUUUUGUUCUUCUACCUAAAAGCUUUAUCCAUCCUGACCCUUUUUAGCCUUAUUUAUUUUAUUUCAUACCCCUUAUUUGGAAUCAGUAGCAAAGGUUAGAAACACAAACGUGGAAGAAAAAAGAAAAAGAAAAAAAAGGAAAAGAAAGCAACAAAAACAACAAAAGAGAGAAAAAAAAAAGAAAAAUUGAUAACAAAAACAAAAGAAAGUGAGAAGAAAACAAAGGAAUUGGGAACUACGUUUGACCUGAUUCCUGAAAGAGGAUACGUAGGCGCUUCACAACUCAGUCAUAGUGUAAAUAAAAAUAAAAAAUCCCCAAGCAAGAAACUGGGGCAAAAAAAGAGAGAAAAAAAUAGUAUUUAUUAUAAAUAAUCUCGUUCCGAAGGUUGUAAUUUUAAACUAAAUUGAUGUGUUUUUGAGCCUUUAAAUACCCUUUCUUCUAGCCUAUCCGAAUCCCACAUUACGGUCCAAAGAAUGACCUUCCGAUCAGUCUUCAAAAGAAGCCAAGUCAGGCAAAUGGGAGAGUCUUGUCAAAACAUAAUCUGAUCCCCGACGAAAAGACUCUGACCCCCAGUAGAAAAGACUCUGGUCCCCUGUUAUGAAGAUAAAUGAGAGAGUAUUAUCGGUAACACCCUAACCCUCAGCUGAAGAAUAAUACAAAUGAGAGAGUCUUAUCGGUGAAAACCUUCAAGGGCACCUUGAGGCGAAUGCCAGUUGAGAGAAAAGCCAAAAUGAUAGAGGCUUGAUAGUGAAAACUUUCGGGCACUACAAGUCAAAUGGGGGUGAGAAUCAGAUGGGGAAUCACCAAACGAAGAUCUUGAAAGACGAUUGACGACAGAGGAUAGGCUAUAUGUGCAUGUCAUGACCAUUAGGGUUGGUAUCCACAUUUGGUAGUUUUUUAUUUUAUAGUUUCCUUGUUAGAGAGUAACUCUUUCCUUUGUCUUUUAUUCUGUUCCUUUUUAUCUUUCUCCUUUCAUAGAAAAAUUCCCCAGUAGAGUCUGUUUGGUCAAAACAAGUGAGAAAUGACUUCAAAAUAUGACAUCAGCUUCCAAUUAGGCAAGUCGAAAUCUAACUGAUAAAUCCAAGUGGUAUGAGGAACAAGCUCAAAGCCAAUGUCAGGAUAUCCCUAGCAAGAGGAGAUUGACAAAGAUGGAUCAGUGUCAAGAAACCAAAAUGUGCCAUCAGCUUUCUAAUUAUGCAAGAAGAGAUCUGACUAGUACAUCCAAGUGGUAUAGUAAGCAAGGAACAAGCGCGAUGCUAGUGUUAAGGAAGAUAUCCCCAGCAAGAAGAGAUUGACAAAAGGAUGGACCAGUGUCAAGAGGGAUAUCCCGGCCAAAAUCAAAGGUUAUAGACCUCAAGGCCAAGGCCCGUGAACAAAUCAAGAAAGAACAAUGCGGAGAGCAGUGGGCAUGAUUCGGGAAAUUCAUAUGAGACUAAAAGAUCGGGAAAAUGCCAGUUUCCGAGCUAUGCCAGAAAAGGAGGGAUAUCCCUAGCUGAAAAGGUUGUUUUCAGUGACAAAAAUGAACAAAGAAAGUAGUUUAUCAGCAAAACAUUGCAAAAUCCUCAAGGGGAAUCAGCUGUCAUGGAAAACAUACAUGGUCAGAUGGAAAACAACAUUGAGAGGUUGGUGACUAAGGAAUCGACAAAAAACUCGGAAGUUAUCGCCCAAGUUUCAAGAUAGCCGAAUGACGCAAAGCAGGGCAAGUCGGUCUAAGACCAGCAUGAAUAUCAUACCCAGCAAAUAAUAUCAUCCCCAGCAAGUUUUGAUAGGGUAAUGGAAAGCAGAGCAAGGAAGGGGAAAGGGAAGGACCAUCCCCAGCAGAAGUAUCACAACCAGCCACCACAUUUUAAACUAACAAGUUUUCUUUGAUUUGAAGUAGGUAAAGGAAAUGGCAUUGAUGACGGAAAGUCAUGUCAUAAGGAAGAUUAUCAAACUGGGGCAGAAAUUUUUCUUUCCAUUUUUGAAAAUUUUCUAGAAAUCAGGUAUCCCUUUGGGGAAGAUGGAAGAUAAGAGAAGUCUUAAGGGAAGUAGUCUUUGAACCAAUGAUAUCCCCAGCAUGUGUUGAAAGAAAGAAAAUAACAAGUUUUAAUGAAAGGAGUUGUAUCCCCAGCGGACAGAACGAAGGGAUGAAACUGGUGUUCAGAAAAAACAAAAGCCAGUUUCAUCCCCAGCAGCUUCUAGAAGAAGGAAACGCCGAUUGUGAAGGAAUAAAAUUCCGCCCAGCAGCGUUAUCCUCAACAACGUUAUCCCCAGAUGAUAACACUUUCAUCCCUAGCAGUGCUGAGAGAAAAUAAAAUUUUUGAAUGAAGUAGAAAAGGAGGGGAAGAAAGGAGAUUCCUCCCAACGUAUUAUCCCUAACAGGUAAGUAAGUAAUUCCCCAGCAAUGUUAUCCCCAUCGGUCUCGAGGGAAGACAACACGAGAUUUUAAAGGAGGAAGCCAUCCCCAGCAUGGCCACAAAUCGGUCACCAUUUUAAAACUGAUAAAUUUUUCUUUGCUCGAGAGUUGAAACUGGAACAAAGCAGUACAAGGGAAAAGAAAAAAAAAGAAGAAAUUACAAAGGUAAGUUUCUCAAAUAUUUGAUCUUUACAUUUUCCUCCUAGGAUAAAAAUCCUAGUCGGAUGGAUUUCCCUCUCGAUACAAUCUUAGUCCGAUGAACUUUCUCCUAAGAUCACGAUUUUAGUCCGAUAAGCUUUCUCCUAAGAUCACAACAUUAGUCUGAUGAACUUUCUCCUAAGAUAACAAUCUUAAUCCGAUGAAUUUUCUCCUAAGAUCACAAUCUUAGUCCGAUGAACUUUCUCCUAAGAUCACAAUCUUAGUCCGAUGAACUUUCUCCUAAGAUAACAAUCUUAUACCGAUGAAUUUUCUCCUAAGAUCACAAUCUUAGUCCGAUGAAUUUUCUCCUAAGAUCACAAUCAUAGUCCGAUGAACUUUCUCCUAAGAUCUCAAAAUUUUAGUCCGAUGAAAUUUUCUCCUAAGAUAUCGAAUCUUAGUCUGAUGAAUCUUUCUCCUAAGAUCACAACAAAAUCUUAGUCCGAUGAAAUCUUCUCCUAAUAUAUCAAAUCUUAGUCCAAAGAAAUUUUAUCCUAAGAUAUCACAAUCUUAGUCCGAUGAACUUUCUUAUAAGAUAUCAAAUCUUAGUCCGAUAAAAUUUUCUCCUAAGAUAUCAAAUCUUAGUCCGAUGAAAUUUCUCCUAAGAUCACAAUCUUAGUCUGAUAAAUUUUCUCCUAAGACAAAAACUUUGUAGUCUGACGAAUUUUCUCCUACGAUAAUUUAAAAAAGAAAGGAUUGUUUAAUUUAAAAAAGAAAGGAAGGCAUAAUUUGAAAAGAAAGAAAGUCUGAAGUUUAAAAAAAAAGUCUAAUUUUGAAAAAAGAAAGUCUGAAUUUGGCAAAAAUUAAGAAAGUCUAGAUUUGAAAAAUGAACCUAGCAUAAGGAAUUAUCUCCUAGAGUCAAAAUCUUAGUCCGAUGAAUCUUUCUCCUGAGAUCACACAAAAAUGGACCUAGUCUGAGGAAUUAUCUCCUAGAGUCAGAAUCUUAGUCUGUUGAAACUUUCACCUAAGAUAAAAAAUCUUAGUCUGAUGAAUCUUUCACCUAAGAUGAUCUUAGUCUGUUGAAACUUUCACCUAAGAAGAAAUCUUAGUCUGAUAAGUUUUUCACCUAAGAUAAAUUUAUAAAUCUUAGUAUGUUGAAACUUUCACCUAAGAUGAAAAUCUUAGUCUGUUGAAAUUUUCACCUAAGAUACAGAUAAAAUCUUAGUUCGUUGAAACUUUCACCUAAGAUAAAAAUCUUAGUCUGUUGAAACUUUCACCUAAGAUAAAAAAAUUCUUAGUUUGAUGAAUUUUUCACCUAAGAUAAAUUUAAAAAUCUUAGUAUGUUAAAACUUUCACCUAAGAUGAAAAUCUUAGUCUGAUGAAUUUUUCACCUAACAUACAGAUCAAAUCUUAGUCCGUUGAAACUUUCACCUAAGAUAAAAAAAUCUUAGUCUGAUGAAUUUUUCACCUAAGACGGUAAUCAUUUCAGUAUUUACAUUUCAUGUUUUGAAUUCAGGUUCAUCCACCCUCGAAUAGGAUAUUUUGGGUUCAUCCGCCUUCGAAUAGGAUAUUUUGGGUUCAUCAGUCCUCGAAUAGGAUAUUUUGGGUUCAUCAGCCCUCCAAUAGGAUAUGAUGGUUCCAUCCUCCCUCGAAUAGGAUAUGAUGGUUCCAUCCACCCUCGAAUAGGAUAUGAUGGGUCCACCCGCCCUCGAUAUGAUGGAUCCAUCCGCCCUCGAAUAAGAUAUUUCUGGUCCAUCCGCCCUCGAGUAGGAUAUUUUGGGUCUAUCCGCCCUCGAAUAGGAUAUGAUGGGUCCAUCCGCCCUCGAAUAGGAUAUGAUGGGUCUAUCCGCCCUCGAAAAGGAUAUGAUGGGUCUAUCCGCCCUCAAACAGGAUAUGAUGGGUCUAUCCGCCCUGAUGGGUCUAUCCACCCUCGAAUUGGAUAUGAUGGGUCUAUCCACCCUUGAAUAGGAUAUUUUGGGUUCAUCCGCCCUCGAAUAGGAUAUCGAAUCUAUCCUCCCUCGAAUAGGAUAUUUUGGGUCUAUCCACCCUCGAAUAGGAUAUCAAAGUUAAUCCUUCCUCAAGAGAAAAUUUAAUUUAUUUCGACCCGAGUGGUCCUGCUUGUAUGAACAUUGCCAAAAUAUAUAUUUCAUAAAUCAUCGCCAAAUGCAUUUUAUUUAAAAGUUGUUGUUGAAAUCAGGAGCCCGCCUGUAAAAUAGAGAAAUACAUUCAAGAUCAAGUCAGAAGGCAGUAAAGCAGAUACGGCAAAUUACCCCCAGCAUAAAUUCCACUACAUAAAUCAAAAGAAAGACUACAAGUCAAGCCAGGAAGAAAAAACACUAGAAGAAACACAAGCGGACAAGAAAGCAAGGCGACAAGAGCAAUUUCAAGAUAGAUAAGAUUUUGUAAUUCCUAGUUUAGUCUAGCUUCUUGUUUUUCUUUUGAGCACGGUGUAAUAAGGAGAACAGUAAGCAAUGGUAGCAGCAUGCAACAAUAGUAACAUCAAAAUCAUAGUUGCAUGGUAGUCCCAACUACCAAAUCUUCCCGACCUAUAUUGACCUGAUUACUUUUUAACCAAGGAUAUGUAGGAAACCUUUGAAGCAGAGGUUCGGUCAAAUCUUUCAAAAAUCCUUCACACGGAGUACUCAAAAUAGGAAAAAGUCAUUCGUAUCCGCUCACUUUAUCUUUGCACGAAAACUCUUCGUGUUCCGGAUAAAGAGGGAUAGAUGUAAGCACGUGAUUUUUGCCUCACAUGAAUUACUCCAAUAGAUUCAAAACAAAAUAACUUCUUUUAGUAUUUGCAAAAUUGUGAAUUUUGUGACAUGUUCUGUUAAUAUUUUGCAUCUGUAUGUGCAUGUUUAUUUGUUAAUUGAAUACAAAAAUAUGUUGAAUUUAUAUUUAGGAUUUAAUUUUACAAUUAAGAGUAAUUAAUUUUGUUUUACAAAAAUAAAAAAAUUACAAAAAAUAACAUACUUCGCGUUUUAGUGUUUAGUAUCAAAAUUGUGUGAUUGUUCUUUUAUAUUGGUAUUUGAUUAUGUGUGAUAACUAUUAUUUCGAGUUAAUUAGUAUUUUUGGAUGAUUUGAUCAAGAAUUAAUCUAGGUUUGUAUUUUUGUCCUUAUUAGAACUUUAGAAAAUAAAAGAAAAGGGAAAGAAUUGGAGUGAGUCAAAUUUGGGCCAGUCUUCAAUUAAAACACCCAUCCCAUAUUACUUAUUACCCAAAGCCCAAUUCCUAUAACCCUUCCCAAUCCACCCAAACCUUUAAACCCGCUCCAUGACCCGACCUGCUCCACUUAUAUGCAAAACAAACCUAGAAAUUGGGGUGGACAUAUAUCGGGUAAAACCGAUUACCCUGACCGUUAAUUCUUUAUUUGGUUAUCGAUAUUGGGUUAUUGGGUUAACGGUUCGGUAACGGGGUAAAAAAAAAUUUUAUUGGGUUAUAGGUUCGGUCUCGGUUUGCAUUUUUGUUAUUGGGUAAAAACUGAUAACCCAAUAAGAAUGAAAUAAUUUACUAAUUUACCCUUAAGUAUAUACUAGGGUUUAAUUUUCCUAAUUCCCUCUUCACUCUUCAGUCUUCAGUUGUCUGUCUCUCAGUUCUCAUUCUUGUUUCCGCCGCAGCCCCCAAGAGUCAAGAUGCAAGACUCACCACUUCGCCAGACACUAGUGCCUCACUAAUUCUCCUCUACCUCGUAUGUCUCUCUCAUUAUGUUUCCGCCACAGCCCCCAACCACCAACAGUUAAUCGCAUCGUGUAACGCCAGUGCCUGAGCCUCAACUCUCAAGCUCACCACUAGUUCUCCGCCAGACGCCACGCUAGUGCUUGAGCCUCACCAGUUUUUUGCCAGUCACGACGACUCACUCCCUCACUCGUCAAUCGCUUCGUAUAAGUUUUGUCUCAAGAUUUUUCUGUUUGUGCCUUGUUAAUUAUUCUGUUUGCUCAAGAUUUUUAUCUCUGUUUGCUUCUAAUUUUUGCCUCUGUUUUCUUUUAAAUCAAACUCACAGUUACACAAAAACAUGGCUAAAACUUAGUAUUUAACUCUGUUGUUUAGCGAAUUAAGUUCAUCAGUAUGAUAUGGAAAAGUUAUGUAAAUUGAUUUUUUUAUCUCUAAUUUAUAAUGACAGUAAGAAACACAUUAGCAUCAUAGUUCUGCCUCUAAUUUACUCACGUGAAGGCACUUUUAAUUUUCAAUGGACUUUUAAUUUUCAGCAUUCAUCACUUUAAUUUUAGUUUUAUCUUAUCUGGUAAACCGAUAACCGAACCGAUAUCAAUAAUCGAUAAGCCGAUAACCGAUAACUAAUAUCUUUUCGGUUUGGUUAUCGGGUUAUGAUAUUUUUAAACCGAUAAUAUAUAGGUAAAAACCGAUAAUUUCCAAAACUGAACCUAACCGACCGAUGCCCACCCCUACCUAGAAACCUUAAGAGCCCUCUUUCUUCUUCCUAAUGACAAACCAGCCGUAGACCCCUGACCUCACCCAAAUGACCCCCGACCUCACCCCAUAUCCACCCUUCAACCAACAUCAAACGAUCGCUCGUUUAUUCUCCAUCUCAGCAACUCACCGGAGGUCCUUUGCCUUUCAGUCGCCGGCCAGCCAUUGAAACUCCAACAAACAUCAUAGCCGCCGCUCACUCCCCCAUCUCUUUCACGCCAACAACCAAAGAGAAACAAACGUUCAGCCAGCAACAACCAAACAGACCCAUUUUUUAACCUUGUAUAUGGCUCCUCACCACUGACUUCACGCCGGACCACCCUAGAACCACCGUCGCUGCCCUAUCUCCUCUCUGACGCCGAUCAGCCCUCUCAGGAACAACCAAGUAACAUUUUUCUUCUAUAAUUUCUCAAUGGGUGAGGAAAGAAGCGGUGUUUAUACGAGUGGUGGUGCCGUUAACAGUAGUAACGUAUUGGGAUGUGCUUUUGGUUUCUUAAUUCGCGGUUUUGUUUGAGGUCAUGAAACUUGGUAUUGUCCGUUGGUUUUGCAGUUCAAAUCCUUGUUUUCGAUUUGA
This 26155-nucleotide long non-coding RNA is filed under the name Nicotiana benthamiana. RNAcentral describes it as "long non-coding RNA (NBEN_LNC015636)". Lineage: Eukaryota; Viridiplantae; Streptophyta; Magnoliopsida; Solanales; Solanaceae. The record is from RNAcentral.